RNAcentral lists this unclassified non-coding RNA (228 nucleotides) under uncultured fungus. RNAcentral's name for it is "sequence contains ITS1, 5.8S rRNA gene". The stretch from base 180 to 228 matches the Rfam family "5.8S ribosomal RNA", at positions 1 to 49 of the family's 154-position model. The record is from RNAcentral. Lineage: Eukaryota; Fungi.
UCUCCGUAGGUGAACCUGCGGAGGGAUCAUUACUGAGUGAGGGCCUUCGGGCUCGACCUCCAACCCUUUGUGAACACAACUUGUUGCUUCGGGGGCGACCCUGCCGUUUCGACGGCGAGCGCCCCCGGAGGCCUUCAAACACUGCAUCUUUGCGUCGGAGUUUAAAACAAAUCAAGCAGAACUUUCAACGACGGAGCUCUUGGUUCUGGCAUCGAUGAAGAACGCAGC